This is a long non-coding RNA of Oncorhynchus masou masou (cherry salmon), 1025 nucleotides long. RefSeq lists it as uncharacterized. The transcript has 2 exons. NCBI's taxonomy places the organism in Eukaryota, Metazoa, Chordata, Actinopteri, Salmoniformes, Salmonidae. The record is from RefSeq and is a predicted model, not a curated record.
CCCAUCUGGUAGAUAAUGUAUAUAUACAGUAUAUAUAGUAUAACUGUUCAUGGAGCAAUGAGUUUUAGUACAGGUCUGGUGCUGGUUUGUAUCACUGUGGAGGCGAGCACAAUAAUAGACAGCUUCAGUAUGCAGAUUCUGUCCUUUUAAAACAGCAUGUUGCUGGAAGUGCUGCUGGUGGUGCAGAACUUGUUUUUCAGUUCAUAAUUAUAAGCUAUGCUUCCACCACUUUAGUUAUAUCCAAUCCACUCCAGUUUUUUCCCUGCAGGCUGUCGAAUCUAAGCUGUAUGCAAUCUACUACUGAAUAUGAGACCUUACAGGAGACGGUUAGUGGUUGACCUGGCUGGACAGUCAUGGAGGCUGGCUGAACACUCACAGACAACAGCUGCCAGCAGCAGAGAUGCAGGGACAUGGUUUGUGGGGACAGGCACAACGGUUGGAGAUGCUCUUCUCUACUCUCCAGGACUCAGAGGGAUGUAUUUUGAUACACACAUAUGGAGCCUGUUUAUAUAAGGAAGAGGGAGAGACAGGGUUUAGAUUACAUUUGAAUAAUGACAAUCAGGUAUAAAGGACUGGGAAUAUCAGUGCAAAAUGGGGGGAAAAUGUGAUAAUGUGCCAGUUUUUAACACUACACUUAUGGGAGAUGAAACUGGAAUGGAUAAACACUGUUUCUUGUUAUUGGUAAUCCUACUGUCACACCAUGGUCGAAAUAUAUUAUGUUUAUUCUUCAUUUAUUCGGUCAGGCCAGGGUGUGACAUGGGUUAUUGUGGUGUGUUUUUGUCUUGGGGUUUUGUGGGAUGUCUAGCGUAGUUUAUGGCUGCCUGAGGCGGUUCUCAAUCAGAGUCAGGUGAUUAUUGUUGUCUCUGAUUGGGAACCAUAUUUAGGCAGCCAUAUUCUUUGAGUGUUGUCGUGGGUGAUUGUUCCUGUCUCUUCACCAGAUAGGACUGUUUAGGUUUUCACGUACCGUUUGUUGUUUUUGUAUUGUUCGAGUUUUUUCGUUCUUCAUUAAACAUGUCUCAAACAUA